RNAcentral lists this non-coding RNA (24 nucleotides) under Arabidopsis thaliana (thale cress). The record is from RNAcentral. Lineage: Eukaryota; Viridiplantae; Streptophyta; Magnoliopsida; Brassicales; Brassicaceae.
AUCAUCCUCUCGUUUAUAUAAUGC